RNAcentral lists this ribosomal RNA (115 nucleotides) under Danio rerio (zebrafish). Lineage: Eukaryota; Metazoa; Chordata; Actinopteri; Cypriniformes; Danionidae. The record is from RNAcentral.
GCCGGCAGCUAGCUCUCUGCAACUCUCACAUGUUCGCCCACUGAAGCUAAGCAGGGCUGCACCCUGUCAGUACCUGGAUUGGAGACCACAUGGGAAAGCUAGGUUGCUGCCGGAA